Molecule: ribosomal RNA, 439 nt
Filed under: uncultured bacterium
Lineage: Bacteria
Description: bacterial SSU rRNA
Rfam family: Bacterial small subunit ribosomal RNA
Source: RNAcentral
GCACAACGCGAAGAACCUUACCUACUCUUGACAUCCAGAGAACUUUCCAGAGAUGGAUUGGUGCCUUCGGGAACUCUGAGACAGGUGCUGCAUGGCUGUCGUCAGCUCGUGUUGUGAAAUGUUGGGUUAAGUCCCGCAACGAGCGCAACCCUUAUCCUUUGUUGCCAGCGGUUCGGCCGGGAACUCAAAGGAGACUGCCAGUGAUAAACUGGAGGAAGGUGGGGAUGACGUCAAGUCAUCAUGGCCCUUACGAGUAGGGCUACACACGUGCUACAAUGGCGUAUACAAAGAGAAGCGACCUCGCGAGAGCAAGCGGACCUCAUAAAGUACGUCGUAGUCCGGAUUGGAGUCUGCAACUCGACUCCAUGAAGUCGGAAUCGCUAGUAAUCGUGAAUCAGCAUUGUCACGGUGAAUACGUUCCCGGGUCUUGUACACACCG